RNAcentral lists this ribosomal RNA (420 nucleotides) under uncultured Pirellula sp. RNAcentral's name for it is "bacterial SSU rRNA". It matches the Rfam family "Bacterial small subunit ribosomal RNA", at positions 353 to 772 of the family's 1533-position model. The record is from RNAcentral. Lineage: Bacteria; Pseudomonadati; Planctomycetota; Planctomycetia; Pirellulales; Pirellulaceae.
AGUCGAGAAUCUUCGGCAAUGGGCGCAAGCCUGACCGAGCGACGCCGCGUGCGGGAUGAAGGCCUUCGGGUUGUAAACCGCUGUCGUAGGGGAGGAAGGCCCUGUGAAGAACAGGGUUUGACCGAUCCUAGGAGGAAGGGCCGGCUAAUCUCGUGCCAGCAGCCGCGGUAAUACGAGAGGCCCAAACGUUAUUCGGAAUUACUGGGCUUAAAGAGUUCGUAGGCGGCAUGGAAAGUAGGGUGUGAAAGCCCUCGGCUCAACCGAGGAAUUGCGCUCUAAACUCCCGUGCUUGAGGAAGCUAGAGGUGAGCAGAACAGAUGGUGGAGCGGUGAAAUGCGUUGAUAUCAUCUGGAAUACCGGAGGCGAAGGCGGCUCACUGGGGCUUUUCUGACGCUGAGGAACGAAAGCCAGGGUAGCGAA